ACGAACGCUGGCGGCGUGCUUAACACAUGCAAGUCGAACGGAAAGGCCCUGCUUUUGUGGGGUGCCCGAGUGGCGAACGGGUGAGUAACACGUGAGUAACCUGCCCUUGACUUUGGGAUAACUUCAGGAAACUGGGGCUAAUACCGGAUAGGAGCUCCUGCUGCAUGGUGGGGGUUGGAACGUUUCGGCGGUUGGGGAUGGACUCGCGGCUUAUCAGCUUGUUGGUGGGGUAGUGGCUUACCAAGGCUUUGACGGGUAGCCGGCCUGAGAGGGUGACCGGCCACAAUGGGACUGAGAUACGGCCCAGUCUCCUACGGGAGGCAGAAGUGGGGAAUAUUGCACAAUGGGCGGAAGCGUGAUGCGGCAACGCCGCGUGCGGGAUGACGGCCUUCGGGUUGUAAACCGCUUUCGCCUGUGACGAAGCGUUAGUGACGGUAAUGGGUAAAGAAGCACCGGCUAACUACGUG
RNAcentral lists this ribosomal RNA (467 nucleotides) under uncultured bacterium. Its description in RNAcentral is "partial 16S ribosomal RNA". It matches the Rfam family "Bacterial small subunit ribosomal RNA", at positions 29 to 507 of the family's 1533-position model. The record is from RNAcentral.